RNAcentral lists this long non-coding RNA (1102 nucleotides) under Solanum tuberosum (potato). Its description in RNAcentral is "long non-coding RNA (STUB_LNC007747)". The record is from RNAcentral. Lineage: Eukaryota; Viridiplantae; Streptophyta; Magnoliopsida; Solanales; Solanaceae.
UUUUUUUUUUUUUAAAAUAAAAAAUUGUAAGGAUUAAAUUAUUAGUACUGUAAUACUUAUUUAGUGCUCAAUAAUAAUUAAAAAAUAAAAAUAUUGACCAACACCAAUAUUUAUAGGUUGAAUGAUAAAAAAAUAUAGCUCAAAUGAACAAGCGAUAUAAGUCGAUAAUAUAAACAAUAGAAAUUGACAAAAUACAAAAAUCUUGCAUAUAUAAAACUAGUCUGAAAUGAACAAGCGAUAUAAGUCGAUAACAUAAACGAUAAAAGUUGGCAAAAUACAAAAAUCUUGCAUAUAUAAAACUAGUCAAUUAAGAAAAAAAAAAAACAAGCGUGACAAACACACAUAUUUUUUUUAAAUAAGCGUGACAUAAAAUAUAUAAAGAGAGAUACACAUAUUGUGAUAUUUUUUCUUAGUUGAGAAGUGUGUUGAUAAUAAAAAUCAAUUAGAAAUUAUAGAAAUUUAGCUAGGACUUUAAAAUAGUAUUGAGAACCUUGAAAGAAAGAGAAUUGAAAUAUUUUUCAUUACAACUAUGUGAAAAAAAUUACAUAAUAUUUUAGAUUCUAAUAUUUAUACUUGAGCAAAAUAUAAAAAUAUAGCAUUUUAAAUAAUAAGGACAUACAAAUGUACCCUAACUAAAAAUGAACGCAACCUGAACUCCAUAAUGAACCCCCAAGACCACUGCUACACCUUUCAGUUAUCUUGAGGGAGUUUAUUUAAGUUUAUAUUCAAAAAGAUCAAGACAUCACAUACUAUUCUUUUUCAAAGUAAAUGAAAUCAACGAAGUUCUUUCCAAAGAUAAACUCAAAAUACUGAAAUGUUGCUUAACGUUCUUGACGAUCAAAUACAUGUUAAGAAGGUCUAAAAUCAUUUAUGUUCGAGAAAUACGCUAUUAAAUUGUUUUCAUAUUGAACUCUUUGCUUGUAUAUUGUUGAGGCUAGUGUUUGUGAGAAAAUCUCUAAACCAAUGGGCCGAUAAUUUUGGGCUUCGAUUCAAAGAAAAACGAUCAACAUGAUAAAGCCCAAAUUUGACGGUGUAACCAAAUCUCCACUCAAAAUUAUCCAUUAAACUCCAUACGAAAUAACCACGUACAUCAGCACCAUUC